RNAcentral lists this long non-coding RNA (5820 nucleotides) under Gossypium barbadense (sea-island cotton). RNAcentral's name for it is "long non-coding RNA (GBAR_LNC001892)". Lineage: Eukaryota; Viridiplantae; Streptophyta; Magnoliopsida; Malvales; Malvaceae. The record is from RNAcentral.
UUGUAUCAAGGCUCCACACGCCCGGGUGCUAAGGACACGCCCGUGUCCCGAACUCAUGUCCAAAACCUGGACAAAUACAAGGCUAUUUUCCAAGCCAUUUUGUCACUCUCACAACACAUGCACGCAUACUUAUACAAUAGCAUACAACAUGGCAAAAUUAGGCACUUAAACCUUCCUAACAUGACAUGACCAUGGUAAUUUCACAUGCAACCAUUACAAUAAGUUUUUCUUUCAUCUUUACCAUAUUAAUGCUAUAGCUAUCAACAUGUCAUCAAACCUCAUGUCCAUCACAAAGCAUGCAUAAUCAUAUCCACAAACCAUUCAUGAAGCAUUAUUAACUAUUUACCAAUCACUUAAUCCUGCAUUAGUUAUUAGCUCAUCAAUGAAUCUCAAUUCAAUCUCUAGGCAUACAUGUUGUACGCCACAUCAUAAGAGAUAAUAACAUACAUGCAUAAGAAUAAUCAUAUGGGCCCAUAACGAUAUUAGCCGACAUAGGCCAAUUUACAUGACUAAUACUACCUUAAUAACAAGCCAAUGCCUUUGGCUAAAUCAUAAUGUUACAUACUCACAUUAAAACCCUAUACAUGUUAUAGACUAGAAUCACUUGAGUUUACUUACGCCGAUAGCGUUAACUCGACAGUGUGAUAAUAUCUCUGACGGCCUCCAACCCGAGCUAAUCUGGAAACUCUAGAAAACAUGGGAAAGAAGAGGGGGUAAGCUUUCGCUUAGUAAGUUCAUAUGAAAACAAUAAGCAACUCAUUAACUUGUUUUUAUCAAUGUUUACAACAUAUUCUCAAGUUCACUACAAGCCGUCUUUCUGAGCAACGGUCACUAAAUUAUUUAUAUCUGGAGCUACGAAACUCUGAAUUAAGUUCUGUUAAUUUUCCCUAAAACUAGACUUAUUUUCCUUUCUUCCAUAAAAUUUCUAGAAUUUUUUGUUAAGCCAAAUAGUAUAGUUUAUUCCUCAAAGUUACCCCUGAUUCACUGUCUGACAGUUCCGACCUCAAUUAUCUCAUAGUACAAGACUCGAAUAAUGUUCUCGUCUAUUUCUCUUGAAACUAGACUCAUAUUUCUACUUAAUAAUUUUUUUCUAGAAUUUUUGGUUGGGCCAAUUAGUACAGUUUAUUAAUUAAAGUCUCCCCUAUUUCAGGGUAUGACCACUUUGACCCCUGUGCACUACAAACCGAAUUUCUCCCUGUACAAAAUUCCAACGACCAUACCAUUUAUUUCUCCUAAAAAUAGACUCAAUAAGGAAUCCAUGCAUGUAAGGUAUGACUCUUAAUAAUUUUUGUACAAUUUUUGGUGAAUUUCUAAAGUCAGAAAAGGGGACCUCUAAUUUAUUCAGACCCUGUUUCACAAGAAUUCAAAUAUCACACAAUAUGGAAUUCUUUUUCUUCCCCUGUUUCUUUCAUGUGAAAAUAGACUCAUUAAUCUUUAAUCCCAUAUUUUAUUCUGUCUCUAACUCAUUUUCCACUAUUUUUAGUGUAUUUUAAAAGUUACACUACUGCAGUAACUCAAAUCUAUCAAGGCUAAAUUACUCAUUCAUGAUCAUUGUUCACAAAAUUAAUACAACAUCGUUUGUAUAAUCAUCACCGAGACAUUCAUAUCACAUUUUCAUUUACCAUCUUACCAUAUUGUUGUUAUGUCGAGUUUUCAACCCGAGGGUUAAGUACAUACCUGUUCAAAGUAUCCAUUUCACAACCUUUACCAAUACGUCCCUUUCAUCUCGAGUAUUCCUCCAUUUGAGUAGAAUUUUACCCGUUGAACACAUCGGAAUAUAAUUCGGAUACAUGGAAAGUUUGCACAUAAGUGCCACAUAUGUAGCCAAGCUACCAUGUAACCCGCCCAUAAGUGAACUCGGACUCAACUCAACGAGCUCGGGCGUUCGCAUCCAUAAGUGAACUCUGACUCAACUCAACGAGCUCGGAUGCCUAGUUACAUCUCACGAACUCGAACUCAACUCAACGAGUUCGGAUGCUCAACCAUCCUAGUGACAUGUCACUUGUAUCCUAAUCUAUUCCUAAGGUUCAAACGGGAUUUUCCUCGAACACAUAUCCUUGCCAUCUUCCGUAAAAUACCGAAACCAAUACUCGGUAGCACUUUAUAUUUAACAGAUAAUACACAUAACUUGCAUUUUAUUCGAAAAUAACCACAAAGCAUAUAUUUCAUGAUAAAAAUCAACAUAUCAUAUAUUUAACAUCAAUAACUUAAAAAUAACAAUUAUGCUACAUUAUUUACACAUGAACUUACCUCGAUACUACAAAGGUGAAAAAAAAAAGACGUAAUUAUCCCUUAAUCGAUUUCUUUCUGUUCUAGGUCCAAAUCUCGAUUUUCAUCAUCUAAAAUAUCACAUUCAACUUAUUAAAACAAUGUACUGAUCAAAUUAGUCCAUUGACACACUUGGGCAAUUUUUUACAAUUUUUCCCUUAUAUUUUGCCAAAAUUACCAAAUUAACCCUAGGCUCGUAAAAUAAUUUUUAUCACAUUUCUUUACUCCUUGAGUCUAAAUGAACCGUUUUCAUAACUAUAGCAACUCAUAAUUUCAACUAGUUCACACAUUUACAACUCAUUUUACAACUUAGCAAUCUAGCCCUUUUUAAGGUGUUUUCAUGUAAUUUCUUUCACAAAAGUUGUUUAUUAGACAACUAGGACUCAUAAUCUUCCAUAAAAACACAGCAAACAACACAUUUACUCUCAUGGCAAAACCCUAGACUCUUCAUCAUUUUGCAAAAUAGUCCCCUCUUAUGAAAGCUCAUGCUUUAGGGGUUCCAAAAAUGUAAAAAUCAUCAAGCAAAGACAUUAAAAUCACUUACAAGCAAGGGAAAUAUGUUGCUGAAAUUUUCCAGCUUCAAAGCCCUUUCUUUGCUGCAUAUUUUGGUGAAGGAGAAGAGAAAAAUGAUAGCUUUUUCUUUUUGAUUUGUUAAUAAUAAAACUAGUCAAAAUUGGUGACCAAAUUUCACCUAAUUUUGACUUUUCAACAAUUUUGUCUCCCAUGGCCGGCCAUCACACUUUCAAUGGCCUAAUUUCACUUUAAAUACCCCCAAUUUAAGAUACAAGUCAAUUUAACACCUUUAGGUAUUAAAACACAACUUUUACCUUUUACGCGAUUUAGUCCUUUUUCAAAAUUGGACUAGAAAUUGCUAAAAUUAACUUACCAAAAUUUACAUGCACUUAUAAAAUUAUAUUAUAACACAUAAAAUAAUAUUAAAAUAAUUUUCUCUAGCCUCGAAAUAGUGGUCCCGAAACCACUGUUUCGACUAGGCCCAAAAUCGGGCUGUUACAAGAAAUAUACUAUAUAUAUAUUAUUUAAAAUAUACAUGAAGUGAUAAAAACAUAUAUAAGUAACUAGUAAUGUUAAAGUAUAUACAUAAUAUAUACAUAUAUAUGUAUAAAAUGAAUAUUGAAAAUGUAUGUACAUAGCAUAUAUGAAAAAUACAAUAUAGUAUUCGUAUGAAAUGUAGAAAUACAAUAUUAAAAUGUAAGCACACGUAAUACAUAAAAAAUACAUAUAUAAUAUGUCACUAAAAUUGUAACACCCCUUACCCGAGACCGUUGCCGGAAUCGAGUACGAGGCAUUACUUAGCUUAUCUUACUAAUUCGGGGCAUAAAAAUUCGUUUUAAAAAUUAAUUUCACUGUUUACAGUAAUCUGUCCAAUCGCGCAGAAGUUACUAAAUUGAUUAUAACUCGAGAUACGGAACUCCAAAUUUAAUUUCGUAAAUUUUCCCUGAAACUAGACUCAUAUAUAUACUCACCAUAAAAUUUUUAGAAUUUUUGGUUCAGCAAAUUAGUACAGUUUAUUAGUUAAAGUCUCCCCUGUGUCACCACCAGACUGCCCUGACUUCUAGUCACUAAAAAUAAGUUUUCUCACUAUAGGAUUUUCAUAUGAAGUUUUUACUUGUUUCUAUAGAAAAUAGACUCAUUAAGGAAUCUAAGCAUGUAAAUUUCAACUCAUAACCAUUUUUGUACAAUUUGUAAUUAUUUUCUAAACUCAGAACAGGGGACUCCAAAAACAGUUCUGACCCUAUCUUACUAAAAUUCACAUAUCUUAAAAUAUAAAUUUCUUUUCUCUACACCGUUAUUUUUUCAUGAAAAUAGACUCAACAAUAUUUAAUUCCAUAUAUCAUUCACCCUCUAAUUCAUUUUAUACUAUCUUGGGUGAUUUUUCAAAUUCACGUCGCUAUUGCUGCCUGAAUUCUGUUUCUUUGCAAAAUUUUACCAUUUUAUGACUUUCAUACCUAAUUUAUCACUUAGACUUUUAUAACAAUAAUUAACUUCAUCCUUGACCAUUUAAACAACCAUUCAUCAUCAAAUACUUACACAUCAUUCUAUAGUAAAAUCAUAUUUACAAAUAUACAAAAUUACUAAAUUCCUAUACAUGCCAUAACUAAAAGAAAUGUUCACCACCACAAUUAGCUCAGAAUCGGCUUUGGAUGCUGAUUCAACAAUCCGACUUUGACCUAACCUGCGCACGGAAACAACCGUACGCUGAGUAUGGAAAUACUCAGUGGUAUUACCAUAAUUCGAAUUAAUAACAUUAAUCGAUAAAUUAUAUACAUUUUAUUUAUGUCUACAAUUAUUCAUUAAUUAUCUCAUGCAUUAAAUCAACUUGAUAAUUAAUAACAAUAAGCUAUAAUUCAAAUCUUGUAUUUAAUUGUAUUCAUACCUUAUUUCACUAUCUCAAUUCCAUUGGAUUUUUCUUUACAUCUCAUUCCAAUAGUUCAUUUCAAUUCAUAUACAAUUCAUUUCAUUUAAUUUAUAUUCAAUAUAAAUUUUAUUGCAAUUUGUACUCACUAAUAUCAUAUAACAAAAUUUACUCUUUAUCACAUCAUGAACUUUGGGCUCAUAUCUUUAAAUCUCUUAUUUCGAUUUCCAAUUCACACAUCAAUUCACAACUUCACUUUUUCGUUUCUUCCCAUAGCUCAAUCAAUCACAUUUAUUCAAUUUUCUCAUUUCAAUUAUUUACCCCUAUUAACAAGACUCGGACCUUGGCGGAUACACGGAUCCAACCAAACACACCAAAAUGGCACCCAGUGCCUCAUCGGAUAGUUCGAAGCAAUAGUUGACACCCAGUGUCUCAUCGGCCCAGCCGAAGUAAAGUUGGUACCCAGUACCUCAUCGAAUCUAUCCGAAGAAAUAUAGUGACACCCAGUGUCUCAUCGACUCAAGGUCGAAGUAUCCCUGAACUCUUCCAAUCCUAUGGCAUGCCAACUAUAUCCGACUCAGCCCGACUAGUUAAUAGGGUUUCCGAAUCACAUUUCAAUUCAAUCACUUUCUCAUACUUUCAAUUCAAAUCAUUCCCAUUUAAUCACCAUUUGUUUCAAUACAUUUUUCUAUUUCAAAUUCACUUUCGAUUUAAUCGCAAUUCAACUCAGAUUCACUUCCCACUUUCAAAUCAAUAUACAAUUCAAUACCAAUACAUAUUUCAGAUAUUCACAUAUAAUCAUACUUCGAUUCAAUUCAAACCACUUUUCAAUCAAUACACAAUUCACAUAUUCACAUAUCUCAAUUUAAUAUCUCAUUUAUUCAAUUCAUAUUUUAAUUCAUUCAAUUAAAUAUUGAUAUUCUCCUUAUUUUUAUUUACUAACAUAUUAUUCAAAAUUCAAUAAUUACUGUCAAUAAAUUCAAUAUCAAUACGUAUAUAUAUUAUUCAAUUCAAUUAUGAAACUCACCUCAAUUUGCUUAUCGUGUAUAUUAAUUUAAUUUUCAACGAUUAAUAAUUAAAUUCGAAUUAUAGUAAUACUAACCGUAAUUUCUCUCGAGUCACUCCUUGUCCACUUUCUCCUUUCCUUUCUCGGACAAUGACUCGUACACGACAUUAGC